RNAcentral lists this ribosomal RNA (253 nucleotides) under uncultured bacterium. RNAcentral describes it as "partial 16S ribosomal RNA". It matches the Rfam family "Bacterial small subunit ribosomal RNA", at positions 524 to 776 of the family's 1533-position model. The record is from RNAcentral.
UACGUAGGGGGCAAGCGUUGUCCGGAUUUAUUGGGCGUAAAGCGCACGCAGGCGGUGCGGCAAGUCACAAGUGACAGGUGGUGGCUUAACUACCACAGGUCUUGAGAAACUGCUGCACUUGAGGGCUUGAGAGGGACGCGGAAUUCCAGGUGGAGCGGUGAAAUGCGUAGAGAUCUGGAAGAACACCAAAGGCGAAGGCAGCGUCCUGGCGAGUCACUGACGCUCAGGUGCGAAAGCUAGGGGAGCGAACGGG